UGGGAACGCGAAGAACCUUACCAGGACUUGACAUCCUACUAAUGAAGCAGAGAUGCAUUAAGUGCCCUUCGGGGAGAGUAGAGACAGGUGGUGCAUGGUUGUCGUCAGCUCGUGUCGUGAGAUGUUGGGUUAAGUCCCGCAACGAGCGCAACACUUAUCCUUAGUUGCUACCAUUAAGUUGAGCACUCUAAAGAGACUGCCCGGGUUAACCGGGAGGAAGGUGGGGAUGACGUCAAAUCAUCAUGCCCCUUAUGUCUAGGGCCACACACGUGCUACAAUGGUGAGUACAACGAGAUGCGAACCCGCGAGGGGGAGCGUAAACUCAAAAACUCAUCUCAGUUCGGAUUGCAGGCUGCAACUCGCCUGCAUGAAGCUGGAGUUGCUAGUAAUCGCGAAUCAGAAUGUCGCGGUGAAUACGUUCCCGGGUC
This 428-nucleotide ribosomal RNA is filed under the name uncultured bacterium. RNAcentral's name for it is "bacterial SSU rRNA". It matches the Rfam family "Bacterial small subunit ribosomal RNA", at positions 954 to 1380 of the family's 1533-position model. The record is from RNAcentral.